Long non-coding RNA from Cavia porcellus (domestic guinea pig), 2735 nucleotides. RefSeq lists it as uncharacterized. The record is from RefSeq and is a predicted model, not a curated record. NCBI's taxonomy places the organism in Eukaryota, Metazoa, Chordata, Mammalia, Rodentia, Caviidae. The transcript has 3 exons.
GAACCAUUCUUACCUACGUUCAUCUCCUCAUAGAAACUACCUUGCUCCUGAGCACAGCAGUCUCUCCCUUUAGCCUGGAAGCUCCCACAAUUGAAGGGGAAGGUUCCGUGCAGCAAUAAGAUCAUCAAAUGGGGUUUAAACACUGCUAUUCUUCUGAUCAGGACGAUCAAGUUACAGCACAGAACGUUUACAGGACUUGCUGCUAAGCUGCUGAGCAACAACUAGUAUUUCUUUGGGUCUGCUAAGUGACAGAUGAAUUUGCCUCACAAUGAAAAAUAAAAGCCAUUUCUAGAUUCAUGUCAAGGCAAAAAAAGAGGCCCUAACAUUGCAGAACUACAGUUAGAGCUCUAACUUAAUGUGAGUAUGUAAAAUAAAUAUUUUAAAAAUAUUACAAUCAUAAUGUAAUAUAUGUGUCUAAAAGAAGUUUCUUAAGGAAAAAAAAUAAGUUUUUUUUUUCAUGAUAUUUUAAGCUGCCUGGUCAGCUGCACACCGAUCCCCACAUAUGGAACAGAUUUCGGUUGAUGGUUAUACCUUUAAUGUGCAGGUCAGCUGACUUAUAUGGCUACCUUUCUCUCCACUGUGGAUACGUGGAGUCCUCAGUGCAGGACUUCUGGGAGUUCCUAGAGUAAAGAUUAUAUUCUCAGGGCAACUACAGCCUCCCAAGUCCUUGAGCAUUAUUUACUGUCUCAGUCUUCCACAUCCAUUUGGUUUGAAUCAGAGCACAUUUCUUUUCUUUUCACCUCAAAAGAAGAAGAAGAAGAAGGAGAAGAAGGAGGAGGAGGAGGAGGAGGAGGAGGAAGAGGAGAAAAAGAAGAAGAAAGAAAGAAAGAAAGAAAGAAAGAAAGAAAGAAAGAAAGAAAAGUGCAUGUUAAACUACUGAUUAGAAUAAUAAACCUUCUUGAACUAGUGAAGAACAUAGUUUAGAACACAGAAAUUAGGGUUAUAAAUGAGGAUUUGCUUUUCAUAAAAAAAGAACUUCUCAAGAAACAAGUAGAAAUUGCUCUUUCAUCGUGCAAUUUUAGUGGCUAUGUCGACCUCUUGUCAUCUGUGUCACUCAGACAAAACUCAUGAGCUCCUUUCAGCUCUGUUCCUCAAUCCUGCCUUUUUGCACUGUUCCCAAGUUCAUAUCCAUUGGUAUCAGCCACAAUAGCUUCAUCCCCAACCCACCUUCACCCAACUCCAGCCUGAGCUUCCCGGGUCUUUCUGAGUAAGGAUGCAGAGCACAGAGACGGAUGCUGGAAGGGUGUGUGCAAAUGGUGAAGAGGGCAUGUGCUGUAAUCCAGAAUCUGAAGACGGAUAGGCUGAUGUCAGGGACGCAGUGUAGCACACACCGUCAGUGCUCCAUUUGUAUUUCUUAGACUGUGAGUGUGCUCCUGUCAACGUGAGUCUGUCACCAUCUUUGUGCAUGAGGGCUGAUUUUCUUAACUCAUAUGGGAUUUCUUCAUCUACAAGCAUGAGCAUCAGCCCACAAAUGCCUGUAAUUAACAAUGCUCAGGAGCAGUGCUCUAUCAGUGACUCUCUGCCUUAGGUAUACAAUUACUCCUUGAUUCCGUUUGGAUUUUGACAUUCCUCCAAAGCUCCAUGUGUUAAAGACUUGGUGUACAGCAUGGCCUUAUUGGAAGGAAGUAAAGCCUUCAAAAGCUGAACCUAGCACAAGAUUUUAGGUCACUGAGGGUGUGCCUUUGAAGGGGAUACUGGGACCCUGGCCCUGCCCUUUCCUUCCUGUCACUUUUGCUCUUUCUGUUAUAAAGUGGACAGCUUCGUCUGGCUUGUGUGGCUGCCAUGGUACUGCGACCACAAGCACAGAAGGACCAACUGAUUGAAACCUUCAGAUCUGUGAGCUGAAAUAAACCUUAUCUCAGGUAUCUUGUUAUAAUAACAACUGACUUAGACACCUCCUCUCCCUUAUCUGUUAAACACAAUAAUUUAAAGAUACUGUUUCUCUGCUCUCUAAAUAUAUCCCUGUGUAAGUCAUGUUUACUUAUCCAAAUGAUAACUGUCCCAAUAACCAUGCUGAACAGGCAACUCUUUCUUUUCUCUCGCUUUCUUAUUAACCUGCUGGUAUUCCAUGGUACUCCCAGGUAACAUGUGCCUCAGAUCUGCUUGUAAAGAUCUCAAUUACAGAAACCAUCACCUAAAUUGGAAAUUUUUGGUUUAUAUUUAUAAUAUUAUUUUUAAAAACACAAAUAUCAUCAUUAAAAUUCUCAUUGAUGACUUUGGCUGCUAACAGUGACCUUCAUUGGUCUUUGUGAUGGCCAUGCCCAAGAAGAGACAAUCAUGUUACAAAAAGAUGGAGUACAAAUUAGCUGAUGCCAUUUAUUUUGGUUACAUCAUUAAUACUUAACAUUUGGGCUGGCCUAUGAGUAUUGUCAAGAAACUUCAGUGUUUAUAACAUACUCAUUUGGGGUUAUAUAUUUCAGUGUCUAUGAAUUUACAAUUUUGGCAAGUGAUUUCCUUUUGUUUUUAAUGGUAGGUGUCCCUUAUUGUUGAAAUUUGAAAAUGUUGACACAUUCACAUUGUAUAGAAUAUUAUCAUGAACUUGUAACCAAAGUAUGGUCUCAUAUUAUUACUUCUAACUUUAACUGGGAAAAUUGUAUUGUUUCCCUUCAAGAAUGUCAGACAUUAGGUUGACAUUUUAAGAAAUAAUAACAUGACAUAGUAAUUAUUUUUUAAUCAAUGAUAUUUUAAAAUAUAGGCUUUCUAUAUCUACACUAUGUUAGCAGUGUGAACUUGUU